UAAAUUUAUAUAUAUUUAUAUAUAUAUAUGUAAAGACAGGUAUUUGGGACCAAUGCCUGGAUUAGCACUUACCAGGAGUCCCCUUUCCCCAUCUCUCCAUCCCAUGCUGCAGUUUGGGUUGUAUUCCUUGCUCCUCAGUCACCUGGAGCAUCCAUUCCCCUGGAGCUCCAUGAGCCCUUUGGACUCAAGAGGGCAGGGGUUUGCCCUGCAGUGCCUGCUGAAGUACAUCUCCAGGUAGUAGAGCACCUUGGCCAUGCACAGUGCAUCUGGCAGAGCAGUGAGGGCUCCAUUUUGCUCAUUGCACUCAACAUCUCCAGGGACUGUGGGGUUCCCUGUCAGACCUUGCUCUUCUCCAUCCUCCCUCCAAGGAGCCUUGGAUAAGGCUUCUAACAGCCUGGAGGCUCCAGGCAGCCAGGCCCUGCCAGACUGCCCUGAGGGCCAAGGGGAUUAAUAUCUCACAGCACAUCUGUAACUGAUUCUUGGCAUUCCAGGGAGUCUGGCACAACUGUGAGCAGCUCUGAAUUAAAUCAAGCUUCUUAAUUUGUGCAGCUCAAUUUUUUUUUUUAUUUAUUUUUUUGAGAGGGAGUCUUGCUCUGUCGCCCAGGCUGGAGUGCAGUAGCGCGAUCUCGGCUCAUUGCAAGCUCCGCCUCCUGGGUUCACGCCAUUCUUCUGCCUCAGCUUCCCGAGUAGCUGGGACUACAGGCGUCCACCACCACGCCCGGCUAAUUUUUUGUAUUUUUAGGGAGACGGAGUUUCACCAUGGUCUCGAUCUCCUGACCCUGUGAUCCGCCCGCCUUGGCCUCCCAAAGUGCUGGGAUUACAGGCGUGGGCCACCGGCGCCCGGCUGGCUCAAAUUUUUAAAAUUCUUACUAAUUUUUUAUUUGCUAGAUCACCCCCUUUCUAUCUUGUCCUUUAUUAUCCAUUUAAUCCUAUCCUUUUUUUGAAACCCUAACAGUCAUUAUUGUUGUGCUAAUCAGCUGCCUUUGCUUUCAGAUCCAUUUCCUGCCCUUCUUUUAUUCUACUCUGUAUUACAGCCAACCACAUUUCCAGGCUCCCUUGUCCUCUGCUAUCUAGGUGAGUUUUGUCAGUGGAAGACAUUGGUGGAAGGUUGGAUGCUUCUUCUUCUAGCAUCUCUGGUGGUGGCUGUGUUUCCUCCCUGACUCCAGCUCCCACUGGGUGUCAUUCACUUUGUGGUUUUGGUGCUUGCCCAAUGGCCUGGCUUCUGAGCCCUGCUUCUGCAGCCCAGGGAGAGUAGCAGCAGUCUGCUGUUUUUAGUGUCUGGGUUGCCACUCUUUUCCUGUUUGACCUCUCUGGGCUUCCAUGACCCACAUAAGUCAUUAAAUUCCCUCUGUCAAAAAGACUUAGGUUCCUGUUUCAUGACUGGAUGCUGACUGAUAUUGUUAUUACCAUUGUAACUAUUAUCGUUGUUAUUGUUUUUAUUAUUUUAUACUGCCAAUGCCUGUUUAAAUUUACCCAUGUGUUUUCAAAUUACUUUGAUCACCUUGCAUUUUGCAUUCCACUUCUAUACUUUUGGUUAAAGUUUUCUUCUUUUUGCAACAUAUCCCUAGCAUUUAUUUCUAUAAAGGUCUGUGUUUUAGAUAACUUACAGAUUCAAAAUUUUAAAAUAUGGCUUUUUGUCAUUUACUUAAGAUCUGUAUGCAAGAAGAAAUGAAAAAGAUGAACAGGUAGAGUCCAGGACUACCUACCACAGCUCAGGUCAACAUUAAUUUUAUGAUUUAAUUAAUUCCAUAAAUUCUCUUUUCUGUAUGAAUAUAAGGUUCCUCCCUCCCUGUACUCACACAUCUACCUCUUCUAGGAGUUGCCUUGGGAUCCACAAAGAAAUUGAGGUGGUCCAGUACUCAUAAGCCAACAAACUUCAAAGGAGAGUCAAAUGUACAUUUUCAAAAUAAGAGUACUGAAAAGCAUUGAAAUAAACACACAAAAAGAGAUUCAAAUGUACAUCUUAAAAGGAGGAGGAGAUUCUUUGAAGAAGUAGGGGAAUAUGACGUUGAAAGUCUCUGAAGAGGUUGUGAUAGUUGUUUAAGGGAGUAGAACAUUAAAACAUUUUUGUCUGUUCAAUCUUAAUUUUUAAAAAUGAUAGCAUAGAGUUUGGCCAAUUAUGGAGGGGCUGAUUUCAUCACUAUCAAUGAGCAGUAAACUUUCUUGGUCUUUUAUUUGGGGAAUGUAUUUAUUUUACUUUCACUUUUGAAUGAGACUUAGCUGAUGCAAUGGACUGAAUUGUGUUCCUCCAGAAUUUGUAUGUUGAAGCUGUAAGGGCAAAUGUGACUGUAUUUGGAGGCAGGGCCUUUAAAGAGGUAAUUAAGGUUAACUAAGGUCAUAAAGAUGGGGCCUAACCCAAUAUCACUGUCCUUAUAAGAAGAGACACCCGGGAUGCAUUUGCACAGAGAAAAGGCCCCAGGAAGACACUGCAAGAAGAGGGUGCUCUUCAAGUCAGGGAGAAACCAAACCUACUAACACUUUGAUCUUUGACUUCUGGGCUCCGUAACUGUGAAAAAUAAGCUUCUGUUGUUUAAGCCACCUAAUUUGAGGUAUUUUGUUAUGGCAGCCCUAGAAAACUAAAUACAGCUGGGUAUAGAAUUCUAGGUUGAUGAUUUUGCUUUUAUAGUAUUUUUAUAAUAUUUUGAGAUGUGUGUCUUUGAAGUUCUGCAGUUGCAUUAUAUUGUGGCUUGCUUUGGAUUUGUUACAUUUAAGCUUUAUUUAUCCUUCCUGGAAUUCAUUACAGUUUUUGAACUUCAGGAUUCAAGUGUUUUAAUCAUUGAUGAAAACAUUUCAACCAUUAUCUCUUCAAGUAUUGCCUGUCUUAUUUUCCUCUAUUUCGCAUUCUUGGAAUUAAAUCUGUUGGUUCUCCUUUUCCGUCUUCCAUGUCCCUUAAUCUUCCAUAUUUUCCAGAUCUUUAUAUCUCUGUGCCUAUUGAGUAAUGUCUAAAAUCUGUUUUCCAGUUUAUAAAUUAUCUUGCUAUAUCAAAUCUGCUAUUUAACCUACUCAUUUAAGUUUUCAAUUUCCUUGACAUAUACCUAUGUGAAUGGGUGGGUUUUUACUUAGACUACCUUUUCAUGUAGAAUAUGUAGACUACCUUUUCAUGUAGAACCUAGCUUCUAUGCAAGGUUCUCAAUUCCAAUUUCCUGUCCACUUGGGCCCAGUGCUUACCUCAUGUUUCCACAUGAGCGUGAAAUCACAAGCCCUUGGGUGAACAGAAUCAGUAAUCACUGGUCGGGUGCAGUGGCUCAUGCCUGUAAUCCCAGCACUUUGGGAGGCUGAGGUAGGCGGAUCAUGAGGUCAGGAGUUUGAGACCAGCUUGGCCAACAUGGUGAAAUCCUGUCUCUACUAAAAAUACAAAAAAAAAAAAAAAGUAAAUAAAUAAAAUUAGCUGAGCAUGGUGGCAUGCGCCUGUAAUCCCAGCUACUUGGGAGGCUGAGGCAAGAGAAUUGCUUGAACCCAGCAGGUGGAGAUUGCAAUGAGCCGAGAUCACCCCACUGCACUCCAGCCUGGGUGACAGAGCGAGACUCCAUCUCAAAAAAAUUAAUAAAUAAUAAUAAUAGUCACCCUUCCACCUCCAUAGCACAGCUACGUCAUGAACUGACACCUUAAAACUUUGUUCUGUUUUCAAUUAUCUCUUGGUUUCUGAUGCCUGGGUAUUUCUUUUUCUUUCUUGAGAGCUUAAGCAUGAAUAUAAAACAUUUCAAAUUUUAUAUUUUAUCCAGUAUUUCUAGCUUUUUAAUAGUGAGAUUUAUCUUACUCUCCCAUUUUAUUAAAACAGAAAGUCUUGAGUAACAUUUUAAUACUGAGAAAAAAAGCCUCAUUAUUAGUUUUAGAAAAAGAGAGACAAUCUGUGUUGUUCUGGAACCAAGACAAAGUUCUAGAAGAUUCUCUCUUGAUCCUUAAACAGCAUAGAAAAACCAGGUAAGUUGACUAUGUUCACGUUUAGGAGUAUGAUGGCCAAUGGAUCCAAAACCUAUCCUAUAUCUACAUGUUGGUGGCCACAUUAAUCUGACAUCUGACAGCAAGAGCGAUGAUUGGGUUCACUGGAAAUCUUUGUGAAGUACGAGUGAAGUCCUUGUGAAGUCAGAGUUUCCUCUUCAUGCCUCUACUCCUAUGCAGUUUGACCUCUCAGUGUGCAGCUGGUGAUAGAUGGAAACCCUUGUUCAUAAGCUUUGUGGCACUGUCGGCAGGAUGAGGGGACUUCUGGAUCCUCACUGGUCACUGUGGCAGAGUGGUUGGUGUUGUCUGCUCCCUAGACAGGAACCCACUGAAGAAUCUGACAUUUUUUGAUAUGCUGGCAUUCAUUGUUACAGCCCAUCAUCCCAGCCAUCAAUCCAGGACAUGGGGUCUGUGCCCACGGUGGGAAGGAGGAGGGGGAAGCUGGCUUUGUUCUGACGUUGGGCUUCUUCUGCUCCACCAGUACUUUCUGUGGGGGAAAUAGGUAAAGAAAUGGCUGUUCAGAUGAGAAGAUGUGUCAGUAAACUUUUGCUACAGUGAUGCUGCAAAACAAAUCACUGGUGACUUUCAGUGGCACACAGCAAUAAACAUUUAUUUAGCUCAGGGAUUGACAAUCUUUUUUUUUUUUUAAAGGGCCAAAUAGUAAAUAUUUUAGGUGUUUCAGGCCAUACAGUCUCUGAACUCUGAACUUGUAGCACAACAGUAGCCUUAGAUGCUAUGCAAAUGGAGGAGCAUGACUGUGUUCCAAUAAAACUUUAUUUAUGGACACUAAAAUUGGAAUUUCA
RNAcentral lists this long non-coding RNA (4742 nucleotides) under Homo sapiens (human). Its description in RNAcentral is "PREDICTED lncRNA (TCONS_00202932)". Lineage: Eukaryota; Metazoa; Chordata; Mammalia; Primates; Hominidae. The record is from RNAcentral.